AUUGACCAGAAAGCUGAAGUGAUUUCAUGCAGGUUUUCUAAAUUAAUGUGACUGAAUUAGGACUCAAAAGUCAGGCUUUCUUAAUUGAAAUUGCAACGCCGCUCAAUCGCUUAUAGAAGGCUUUGGUCCAGUAGCACUGAGUGGGGUCACAGACACAGAAUGCACCACUCCAAACCAGAAAGGCCGCUAUUGGCAAUGCAGCCACGGUGAGAGCCACACAGAACAAAGAGAUUGUGAAUGUAACUACCAGGCCACUAGAAAAGCACUUGCUACAGUGUAUCUACAGUUCAGCAGGAACCUUCUUUUCCCAAGGCGAUGGACAUAUUGCUUAUCUGUUACUAAAUACAUCUUUUACCAAUUUAGUUGAUUUUAUUUUAUUAAUAUCAAAUGUCUUAAUUAUUUAGAUUUAUUGAGCCACA
This 419-nucleotide long non-coding RNA is filed under the name Fukomys damarensis (Damara mole-rat). RNAcentral describes it as "lncRNA (ENSFDAG00000022218.1)". The record is from RNAcentral. Lineage: Eukaryota; Metazoa; Chordata; Mammalia; Rodentia; Bathyergidae.